CUCGCCUGGACACCUGGACAGAGCCUGGUUGAAAGCGCCUCGCUUGGAGGCUUCCCCCAUAUAAGACUAACUUUAGAGUCCAGAGUAAAGCAUCAUCUAAAACUCACUUAAACCCUUUUCAAUCAACUGUCUUCGUAAUAACUAGAACAAGUUUCCUCCAUUUAAGUAGUUCCAUGAAAGAUACGCAGCAAAUCAACUUUGAUUCAUUCCAACUGCUUUCCACCUUUUCCCUUGGGGGUUCUGUUGAUUUUUUUUUUUUUCUUUUUCAGAUGAGCUUCAAAAAGACCAUACACAUUUCACAAUACUUGUAAAAUCAAAACGAUCGACACAAAAAUUUCCAGUCAUCAAAAAAUAAGAUUAUGAACCCACCUUUCUUUUCACACAAAAUAGGGGUUUCAAUACUUUGAAGCUCUUGAAUCUUUUCCUUCCAUACUAUAAACAGAAGGGAAUGACAUUUCAUGCUCAUAUGCAUUGUUUUA
RNAcentral lists this unclassified non-coding RNA (479 nucleotides) under Hevea brasiliensis (rubber tree). The record is from RNAcentral. Lineage: Eukaryota; Viridiplantae; Streptophyta; Magnoliopsida; Malpighiales; Euphorbiaceae.